GUCCACGCCGUAAACGAUGAAUACUAGGUGUAGGGGUAUAGACUCCCUCUGUGCCGCAGCAAACGCAAUAAGUAUUCCGCCUGGGGAGUACGGCCGCAAGGUUGAAACUCAAAGGAAUUGACGGGGGCCCGCACAAGCAGCGGAGCAUGUGGUUUAAUUCGACGCAACGCGAAAACCUUACCAAGACUUGACAUCCUACUAAACUCAUGGAAACAUGAGGUGACUUCGGUCGAGUAGAGACAGGUGGUGCAUGGUUGUCGU
RNAcentral lists this ribosomal RNA (261 nucleotides) under uncultured bacterium. Its description in RNAcentral is "partial 16S ribosomal RNA". It matches the Rfam family "Bacterial small subunit ribosomal RNA", at positions 793 to 1055 of the family's 1533-position model. The record is from RNAcentral.